This 88-nucleotide transfer RNA is filed under the name Candidatus Bathyarchaeota archaeon BA2. Its description in RNAcentral is "tRNA-Leu". It matches the Rfam family "tRNA". Rfam says of the family: Transfer RNA (tRNA) molecules are approximately 80 nucleotides in length. Their secondary structure includes four short double-helical elements and three loops (D, anti-codon, and T loops). The record is from RNAcentral. Lineage: Archaea; Thermoproteati; Candidatus Bathyarchaeota.
GCAGCGGUCGCCAAGCCAGGUCAAAGGCGAAGGACUCAAGAUCCUUUCCCGUAGGGGUUCGCAGGUUCAAAUCCUGCCCGCUGCACCA